This 301-nucleotide ribosomal RNA is filed under the name uncultured bacterium. RNAcentral's name for it is "partial 16S ribosomal RNA". It matches the Rfam family "Bacterial small subunit ribosomal RNA", at positions 509 to 807 of the family's 1533-position model. The record is from RNAcentral.
CAGUCGCCACGGUAAUACAGAGGAUGCAAGCGUUAUCCGGAAUGAUUGGGCGUAAAGCGUCCGUAGGUGGCUUUUCAAGUCCGCCGUCAAAUCCCAGGGCUCAACCCUGGACAGGCGGUGGAAACUACCAAGCUGGAGUACGGUAGGGGCAGAGGGAAUUUCCAGUGGAGCGGUGAAAUGCGUUGAGAUCGAAAAGAACACCAACAGCGAAAGCACUCUGCUGGGACGACACUGACACUAAGAGACGAAAGCUAGGGGAGCAAAUGGGAUUAGAUACCCGUGUAGUCCCUGUCUCUUAUAC